Molecule: ribosomal RNA, 253 nt
Filed under: uncultured bacterium
Lineage: Bacteria
Description: partial 16S ribosomal RNA
Rfam family: Bacterial small subunit ribosomal RNA
Source: RNAcentral
UACGGGGGGGGCAAGCGUUGUUCGGAAUUACUGGGCGUAAAGGGCUCGUAGGCGGCCAACUAAGUCAGACGUGAAAUCCCUCGGCUUAACCGGGGAACUGCGUCUGAUACUGGUUGGCUUGAAUCCGGGAGAGGGAUGUGGAAUUCCAGGUGUAGCGGUGAAAUGCGUAGAUAUCUGGAGGAACACCGGUGGCGAAGGCGGCAUCCUGGACCGGUAUUGACACUGAGGCGCGAAAGCCAGGGGAGCAAACGGG